UGGGGGAUAUUGCGCAAUGGGGGAAACCCUGACGCAGCAACGCCGCGUGAAGGAUGAAGGUUUUCGGAUCGUAAACUUCUUUAAGUGGGGAAGAAUAAAUGACGGUACCCACAGAAUAAGCCACGGCUAACUACGUGCCAGCAGCCGCGGUAAUACGUAGGUGGCAAGCGUUGUCCGGAUUUACUGGGUGUAAAGGGCGUGUAGGCGGGAUCGUCAGUCAGAUGUGAAAUUUCGGGGCUCAACCCCGAACCUGCAUUUGAAACUACGAUUCUUGAGUGUCGGAGAGGUAAGUGGAAUUCCUAGUGUAGCGGUGAAAUGCGUAGAUAUUAGGAGGAACACCAGUGGCGAAGGCGACUUACUGGACGAUAACUGACGCUGAGGCGCGAAAGCGUGGGGAGCAAACA
Molecule: ribosomal RNA, 404 nt
Filed under: uncultured Eubacteriales bacterium
Lineage: Bacteria; Bacillati; Bacillota; Clostridia; Eubacteriales
Description: uncultured Clostridiales bacterium partial 16S ribosomal RNA
Rfam family: Bacterial small subunit ribosomal RNA
Source: RNAcentral